UAGGGAAUCUUCGGCAAUGGACGGAAGUCUGACCGAGCAACGCCGCGUGAGUGAAGAAGGUUUUCGGAUCGUAAAGCUCUGUUGUUAGAGAAGAACGUUGGUAGGAGUGGAAAAUCUACCAAGUGACGGUAACUAACCAGAAAGGGACGGCUAACUACGUGCCAGCAGCCGGGGUAAUACGUAGGUCCCGAGCGUUGUCCGGAUUUAUUGGGCGUAAAGCGAGCGCAGGCGGUUCUUUAAGUCUGAAGUUAAAGGCAGUGGCUUAACCAUUGUACGCUUUGGAAACUGGAGGACUUGAGUGCAGAAGGGGAGAGUAGAAUUCCAUGUGUAGCGGUGAAAUGCGUAGAUAUAUGGAGGAACACCGGUGGCGAAAGCGGCUCUCUGGUCUGUAACUGACGCUGAGGCUCGAAAGCGUGGGGAGCAAACAGG
Molecule: ribosomal RNA, 429 nt
Filed under: Bacillota bacterium
Lineage: Bacteria; Bacillati; Bacillota
Description: Firmicutes bacterium partial 16S ribosomal RNA
Rfam family: Bacterial small subunit ribosomal RNA
Source: RNAcentral